GUGGAGAAGUGUCAAAGCACUGGAAUCUCCACCUAGGAUGGUGCUGCAUCUUCAAGUGGAGGGAUUUCCUAAGAGAUCAUAUUAGCCAGGUAUGAAUCCCAGAGAAGUGGAUGAGGAGGUGUGGAAAGAAGAUGGGCCCACAGAGAUACCGAGCAACAUCAAUGCGGGUGGUGCACAGCAUGUGCAUUUUACUUACAUGCUGUGGUGCACUGGAGGCAUUGUGUCUCUCUAAGGUAUAAUCCCUUCCAGAGUUCCUCUCAGAGUGGUACAAAUCCACAUCACCCUUUAAUUAACACUGUGCCUAGGAGGCACAACUGAGCCUUGAGUAUAGCCACAGGCUUUACAUGUACCUUAACUUGCAAAUUGCAGAUAAAAGUAGUUAAUUUAAGCAUAAACUGCUUUUUUUUUUUUUUUUUUAAAGACCCCGAUUUACACAUUGAAGGGAAAGUAAUUAUGUUUAACAGAUGCUGUUAAAGAAUAUUUGAUAAUAAUUAAUAAUUCAGAUGGAAAACAAAAUCAAAAAGAAAUUCAUGUCAGUUUAGAACUGAGGUCAAAACCUUAACCUCUGCAAGGAAGUUUUAUCUAUUCUAUUCUCUGGUAUGCUAUACUAUGCUAUUCCAUUCCAUAUUCCAUUAUUUAUACUCCAUGUAUCAUUGUAACAUUGGAGCAUCUUUCCAGCACACUGCAUUAAGCAAUAUGAAUACAUUCCAUCAAUUGGUUGUUUCCAACAACUCAACACCCAGCAGUAGUGCAGAGCAUUCUCCACAAUAGUCUAACCACUGGAUUUAAUUUUUUAAUCCAGACUUCAUCACAUUUUUUUUUCUUCUAUACUAAAGAAGCAAACCCUAAGCAAAUCUAAUCCUGACAUACCUCUACCCCUCCCUUCACCACCAACACGCCAGAGAAAUGGGCUUCUAUUUAUAAGUGGCAUUACACCCUCCUAGCCCUUUUUCUUGAUUUUUUUUCUACAGAGCACAGAGAAGCAGAAGAAGGAUGCUCACAACAAGACCAGGGCUUAAAUAUUUUGCUCAUAAUCACAGACAGACACCAGGGCAGAAAAGAAAACUCAAAGGACUACCACUCAGAAAGUCAAAUCAUCAGUCCACAGUCUCACUGUGCCUAUAGAAUUAAGGGACAAAUUCUCUGCUGUUAUACACUGGUCCAGGAGGAGGCUGAUGACAAAAGGGAUGGAGGGAAUGAUUGGAAAAUAAUGACAUACUUUACCAGUCUGCGUCUCCUGAGGAAGAGGCUCUUUGUUUCACAACAGUAAAUUGUUUCUCUGCCUUCACAUCCAGCAUCAAAAGUCUGGUAUAUGCUAGAAACAACAGACAUUAUUUGAGGUAAUCUUGAGGUCUCUAAGAGCCAAAGAAGUUGCACAGGCAAAGUCCUGAAGCCUCUCUCCCACCCUGCCCCACAAAUUGAAAGUGUUUUAAGCUAAGGGCUGGUAGAGUAAGGAAAAUAAAAUAUGUCUGGAUAUUAACUGGUCUCUUUGA
RNAcentral lists this long non-coding RNA (1493 nucleotides) under Coturnix japonica (Japanese quail). RNAcentral describes it as "lncRNA (ENSCJPG00005012456.1)". Lineage: Eukaryota; Metazoa; Chordata; Aves; Galliformes; Phasianidae. The record is from RNAcentral.